This is a long non-coding RNA of Pantherophis guttatus, 449 nucleotides long. RefSeq lists it as uncharacterized. The record is from RefSeq and is a predicted model, not a curated record. Lineage: Eukaryota; Metazoa; Chordata; Lepidosauria; Squamata; Colubridae.
AGGGAGAUCAUCUCCUUGGGAAUUGUGAUGGUUUUAUGACUUCACACCUGCAGAUUAAACUGUCAGUUACUGUAAGUUAUCAGUUAUCAGAGUGAAGAUACUUCCCAAUAGGCAGGUUGGUCUUCAGAAGGGCUCCUGGAUUCUGGGGAAUUUUCCCUUUUUUUGUAAUCAGCUAUCAGAGGGAAGAAAACAGCGGGACAGGUGUAAGGCUGAGCAAAAUCUACUGAAAUACUUGCACAUUGCAAGAAAUGUGUAAGAGCAGAUUCAUCACCUUCAAAAUGCGAGAUCUGGGAACAAGGACUGAUAUCACACAGCAUCUUUCUCUAGAAUUUUCAAUAUAUCUCAGAAAUAUGACAAAGGAGAGCAGAAAACCCACGCAAUGAGAGAAAAACAUGUUACUUUAUUAUUUAUUCAUUCAUUCAUUUAAUUAAUUUCUAUACUACCCAUCA